Molecule: long non-coding RNA, 669 nt
Filed under: Cairina moschata (Muscovy duck)
Lineage: Eukaryota; Metazoa; Chordata; Aves; Anseriformes; Anatidae
Description: domestica (muscovy Duck (domestic type)) lncRNA (ENSCMMG00000013921.1)
Source: RNAcentral
AAGUAAAACCUUGACUACAGAAGGAGAAAGUACACUGUGAACCUUACUGCUGUCUUUCCUGUAACUAAAAUACUCCUUUUGUUUUGUCCUCUUUCAGGUGCAUGCUGUAAUUGCCAGAGGAGCGGUGGGAGCUCUCACAGGUAGAUGAAGCAAACGCCGAGGUGCUGCAGCUGUGAGCAGGAGGAAAAUUAAGCUGUGAACUGGAAUUCCAUCAGGCUGUCUACUGUGAAGCCCUGUGGCUUUAGCAAAGGGGCAGCAGUGGUCAGAAAUGACACUCAAAAGAAAAUGACAUGGAAUUCACAGUGGACUUCCUACUCUGUGAAAGAAAGGGAGAAGAUGCUUUUGCUUCAUGCAAUCUUCGCUUCUAAGGAGGUUGCUGCUGUUAAGCACUUCUGCAACUUAGACACACAAAGAAAUGGGAACCCUUUGCAGCCUGUAGUGGAACAUGAGCAUGGACCCUUCAGGCUUUGUCUGAUUUCUUCCUGUUUCUCCGACGUGUUGCUAAAUCAUGGCAAUGGAAGAGCUCAUCUCCAGGAUGCCAAAUCCGUGCUGCCUUCCAGGGACAAUCCCAGCAGCUCAUGUUCUGAAAAAGGAGGAAACCAGGGCCUGGGAAAGCAGUUGUGCCUGCUGGGAACGGAGUCUGCCUCACGCCAGUGCCACCACUCCUAA